RNAcentral lists this ribosomal RNA (247 nucleotides) under uncultured bacterium. RNAcentral's name for it is "partial 16S ribosomal RNA". It matches the Rfam family "Bacterial small subunit ribosomal RNA", at positions 523 to 769 of the family's 1533-position model. The record is from RNAcentral.
AUACGGAGGGUGCAAGCGUUAUCCGGAAUCACUGGGUUUAAAGGGUGCGUAGGCGGCUUCAUCAGUCAGUCGUGAAAUCGUGUGGCUCAACCAUGCAACUGCGAUUGAUACUGCGAAGCUUGAAUAAGGUUGAGGUAGGCGGAAUGUGACAUGUAGCGGUGAAAUGCUUAGAUAUGUCAUAGAACACCGAUUGCGAAGGCAGACUUCUGGCGUAAAACUGACGCUCAUGCACGAAAGCGUGGGGAUC